CGGUUAAAAAGCUCGUAGUUGAAAUUGUGUCCUGCGGUGUCGGUCUACCGAAUGCGGUACGACAGGCACGUCUGCGGGGCUUCUCGCCGGUGCGUCCACCGCCGGCGUGUGUCGGUCGGCCUCACGGUCGGCCGCGCACCGAGGCGGGCCGUCGCGGCUGUUUACUUUGAACAAAUUANAGUGCUCAAAGCGGGCUAACACUUGCCUGAAUAUUGUACGCAUGGAAUAAUAGAAUAGGACCUUCUGUUUUGUUGGCUUUCUGAUACCAGAGGUAAUGAUUAAUAGGGACGACUGGGGGCAUUCGUAUUGAGACGUUAGAGGUGAAAUUCUUGGAUCGUCGCAAGACGGACUAAAGCGAAAGCAUUUGCCAAAGGUGUUUUCAUUAAUCAAGAACGAAAGUUAGAGGUUCGAAGGCGAUUAGAUACCGCUGUAGUUCUAACCAUAAAUGAUGCCAGCCAGCGAUCCGCCGAAGUUUCAUAAUUUUAACCCGGUGGGCAGCUCCCGGGAAACCAAAGCUUUCGGGCUCCGGGGGAGUAUGGUUGCAAAGCUGAAACUUAAAGGAAU
RNAcentral lists this ribosomal RNA (564 nucleotides) under Drusus trifidus. Its description in RNAcentral is "SSU rRNA". It matches the Rfam family "Eukaryotic small subunit ribosomal RNA", at positions 616 to 1153 of the family's 1831-position model. Lineage: Eukaryota; Metazoa; Arthropoda; Insecta; Trichoptera; Limnephilidae. The record is from RNAcentral.